This is a non-coding RNA of Misgurnus anguillicaudatus (oriental weatherfish), 1030 nucleotides long. NCBI's taxonomy places the organism in Eukaryota, Metazoa, Chordata, Actinopteri, Cypriniformes, Cobitidae. The record is from the annotation of a RefSeq genome assembly.
CAAAGUUACAUGAACUUAACAUGAAUGUGUGUUUGGGCCUUUUUGGACACCUGAAAUAAUCCACAAACAUUGUCAUUUGAUACAAAAUGUUUUCUCAGUAUUAACCUCACUUUCCUGAAACUUUUGCAUUUCAGCAACUGCUCUCAAAUGAGGUCAUUUUUAAGUCAGUUCAGUAAAUCAAGAAUAAACUAUUUUGCCCUCAUAUAAAAUAGUUUAACAUAAAUUACAAUAAUCUCUUCAUUCUACUUUUUCAUAGAUUACAAAUUCAGACUUAAUAUUUGCAAAAUAAGUUUAUAGAUUUUGUUUGUGGAUUUUAAUCCUAAUAAUCAAAAGGCUUUAUUAAAAACACUGAGGUGAUGUCUCUCUAAAAUCCCAGCCUUCUUGUUGUAAAACACGUAGUGUUCAUUUUUUUUGUAUGUAAAUGUUUAUGUAAACAGUGGGCAUGAGUCAGUUUAUGUAUUUUCCUCUGAUCACUAUAGGCAGUGACAAACAGCUUCAGGUCAUUUACACUUUAAAGUGCAUCAUGUUCACUGAAGCUUUACUGCUGCUGCUGGCAAGUCUAAACUGCAUUCAUUCAUAUGAACUUUCUCAGCCUGAGUUUCUGACUGUUCGUCCUGAUGGCUCUCUAACUAUCGACUGUAAAGUCUCUUAUUCAGUUACUAGCUAUUAUACAGCCUGGAUCCGUCAGCCUGCAGGAAAACCUCUGGAGUGGAUCGGGUGGAUUGAUAGUAGUGGAGGCUUAGCCUACAAGGAUUCACUAAAAAACAAGUUCAGCAUCAGCAGAGACACCUCCAGUAAUACAAUAACAUUGAAGGGAAUCAAUAUGCAAGCUCAAGACACAGCUGUGUAUUAUUGUGCCAAAUAUCACAGUGACAGAAACUAACAGCCUCCCUGUACAAAAACAUUAUCACUGAAAGGUUAUCAGGUUUUCACAACUGACAUUGGAUUUUAACAACAAUUACAUAACAAUACACAAUAAAUAGCCUGAAUAUUAUUAACUGUAAAAAGAACUUUAUUAUUUGUUAAGGUA